AAGGAUCGGCUAACUCCGUGCCAGCAGCCGCGGUAAUACGGAGGAUCCAAGCGUUAUCCGGAUUCAUUGGGUUUAAAGGGUCCGUAGGCGGUUCUUUAAGUCAGUGGUGAAAGCCGACAGCUCAACUGUCGAACUGCCAUUGAUACUGGAGACCUUGAGUACAAAUGAAGUAGGCGGAAUGAGUCAUGUAGCGGUGAAAUGCAUAGAUAUGACUCAGAACACCGAUUGCGAAGGCAGCUUACUAACAUGUAACUGACGCUGAGGGACGAAAGCGUGGGGAGCGAACAGGAUUAGAUACCCUGGUAGUCCACGCCGUAAACGAUCAUCACUCGCUGUUGGCGAUAUACUGUCAGCGGCCAAGCGAAAGUA
RNAcentral lists this ribosomal RNA (369 nucleotides) under uncultured bacterium. Its description in RNAcentral is "bacterial SSU rRNA". It matches the Rfam family "Bacterial small subunit ribosomal RNA", at positions 488 to 859 of the family's 1533-position model. The record is from RNAcentral.